GUGGGGAAUAUUGGACAAUGGGCGAAAGCCUGAUCCAGCCAUGCCGCGUGUGUGAAGAAGGUCUUCGGAUUGUAAAGCACUUUAAGUUGGGAGGAAGGGCAGUAAGUUAAUACCUUGCUGUUUUGACGUUACCGACAGAAUAAGCACCGGCUAACUUCGUGCCAGCAGCCGCGGUAAUACGAAGGGUGCAAGCGUUAAUCGGAAUUACUGGGCGUAAAGCGCGCGUAGGUGGUUUUGUAAGUUGGAGGUGAAAUCCCCGGGCUCAACCUGGGAACUGCCUCCAAAACUGCAUGACUAGAGUACGGUAGAGGGUAGUGGAAUUUCCUGUGUAGCGGUGAAAUGCGUAGAUAUAGGAAGGAACACCAGUGGCGAAGGCGACUACCUGGACUGAUACUGACACCGAGGUGCGAAAGCGUGGGGAGCAAACAGGAUUAGAUACCCGGGUAGUCC
RNAcentral lists this ribosomal RNA (450 nucleotides) under uncultured bacterium. Its description in RNAcentral is "bacterial SSU rRNA". It matches the Rfam family "Bacterial small subunit ribosomal RNA", at positions 354 to 796 of the family's 1533-position model. The record is from RNAcentral.